CGCAGGACAACCACCACCGAGGUGCCAUGCUGUAGAAGAUCGCCCCAACUCAGUUUCGCGUCAAGAUUAAUUUUCGCCCUUUAAUGUUGGAGGGAAAGCGUCGAGCACCCCUUUAAGAACACUGCUCUGUCGUCUGCCUGAGAGCAUUCUUUUUACUUGUGACUACUCCUUCCGUUUGCCGUCCUCCGUUGGACUACAUCUGUAGCAUCCCUGAGGCGCCACCACGCGAGAAACCACCGCUCCCGCUCUCUCUGUGCGCGUGUGAACGUACUCCCCAGGCGCGGAAGAGCGCUUAUCGCAGACGACCGCUUCUUAUCCGCCUGCUCUCGUGCAUCAACCUCAAGCGGGUCGACCAUAAUCAUUCCUUGGCCUUGGUUACUCUAACUCGCACGUGCGUAACUUGUUUUCGUUUGUUUUCUGCGGAGAGGUGGUUGCAUUCACCAUGCGCACUUCCGCAGCGGUGCUGUCGCUGUUUCGCGGACAACGCCGCCUUUCCUGCACUACGACCGCCGCGCUCGCCACGCGCCGGUUUUCUCGAAGCGCCGGUGACCGCCUCCAAAAAGAUUGGACAUCAUUAUCAACCACACCACCCCGGCCUGGGUCAGACACACCUGCGCCGCCGUCGUCAUCCAAGUCCUCGGCCGACCUGGAUGCACGCGAGUGGGCUUUGCGCGCCGCCCCAGAGGGGACAGCCAGCUCCAAACGCGGCUCCUCUUUUGCAUCCUUAGCGCCACAGCACGGGAGCGGUGAAAAGGUCAAUGGGAUGGAUCGCACCGCGGGGCUGUACACGCACACGAUCGUUACUGAGGCUGACAAGGCGCCAACUGGCGUGGCAACGCCGGCUACCGCGUCCUCCGUUAGCACUGGACCCGGCUUGGCCGCUGAGCGAAAAAAGUACGCGGCUAUACCAUUACGCAGUAGCGGUACCCGUGCCGAGCCAGGAAAUGGGAGCCACGACGCGUCACCGCCGCCGUCCGCAUCGAAUGCGAGACGCGAGAUGACAGCGCCAGCAGAGGCACCGAAGAAGAUCAAAACGGCGGCGCGACCGCAGGACGGCCCGAUGGUGCCAGACUACGGGCCGCUGCGUGCAACCGGCCUAUGGUCCGUAGAGGAGGUGCUUGACGAGUCGAAGAAGACGGUCGACUUCCGCCGCAUCGACGAUGUCGAGAGCGAGAUCUUCGAAGGCCGCACGAAUGUCGAGGAGGCACUCGUCCCAUAUGCGGAAGAGGAGGCGUGGAAGCACAAGCUCAUGUUUGAGUACAAGUUCAAACAGACACCAAAACACCUCACGUGGAAGGAGAUGGGCGAAGAGAUCGAGUGUAUGGACUGCGUGAUCGAGCUGGACGAGCACCGCCCCGAGGAGCUCUUCACGAUUCUCUUCUACUUCACAGAUAAGAAGACCGGCACGCGCGACUUGGUAUGGUCGGCGCGGAAUGACGUCUCGUACUCGGAGGGAUUUACGGAUCUCCUGGCCGCCGUCGGGGCGUGCCUCGGUCGCUCGGACGUGCAUCGCACCAUCCGCUUUGAUGACGGCGUCGGCUGCACGCGCGACCUCACCUUCCGUAAGCGGUCUCGCUACACAUCCGACGUGUACGUGGCCUUUCGCCCUCCCGAGAAGUACGACAAGUUUCAGCGGAAGGAGGAGAAGGACGAGUACGAGGCAUCCAUGGAGAGGGAGGGCAUGAGCACGUGGGGGUACCACCCGUCCCUCAUGGAUCCGGAGUUCAGCGAGCUAGACUUCAAGGACCCGGAGGGGACGUACGAGGUUGCCAUAUCCGCUCACGGCUUCUCUUUUGUUGUGCUGCGAGCGAUUCGUCGCCUUCUGGCCCGGCCAAUGAGAGACUUCUACCGACCUUCGCAGCUGAUGCGGACGGCAAAAGUAAGGACAGAGGACGAAGUCGGCUUCACGCAUGCCUUGAAGGGCUGGCUGGGCGUCGAUGAGCAACUCUACCCCCACUACACUCCCAUCGAGGCGCUGCAGGACCACUGGCUGGGCAAGGACGCCCCGUUUAGUCUCUGCGCCAUCGUCAAUAAGCUGCGCGAGAUGAACUAUCUCAAGAAGGAGAACCCUGAGUUUCAGUCGUGGCUGUCGGUGCGGAACCACGACACGCACCUCGCCAUUCGCAACAUGGGUGUGAAGCUGCUGGGCGUUGGGGCCAGCACGCUGUUUGUCCCGGUGUCGCACAACGCCACCGUGAACCGCCUGCUCCCUAAGCCACAGCAGCGCCGGCUGGAAAGUCGAUUUUCGUUGAACGCUGUUCUCGGGCUUCCAGACGAGACGCGUAAGCUGAAGGAGUUCAAACAAAUCACUGGCCACGACCGCAUCACCGACGCGCCGACGUCUAGCACGCAAGGGACAGCCACGGUCGCGUCUUCAGCCCAAGACGAGGCAAGCGUGAAAAAUUCGCCUACAUAAAUGAGCGAGGGCUGCGUGUGCUCCGGAGAGAGACGAGUGUGCUAGGGUUCCUUGUGGCCUUUUCUGCAUGAAGCGCAUCGUCUCUGUGCUGUCGUUCCUGCGUGCAGCUUUUUGGAAGCUGCCUUGGUAUGCGUCUUUGACGACGUGCAGGUGCCUGUGCGUCUUUGUGUAUGUGUGUGUGUACAUUUGUGGGAGGGAAAGGGGGAGGGCGGAGGAGGAUGGAGGCUCACGGUACCCCCAUUUUUUUCUGGUUCACUCUUUGUCGCCUUCUCGUCGCGGACCACUCCACGUGUUUGGUCAGUGUGCUGUGUGCGUGGUAUGUGCUGUGUAUUGCCUUCUUAUUUCCACGUAAUACACUUCCGGAUUCAAACUUCUCACCGUUCACAGAAAGAAAAAAAAAGGAAACCUUUUCUUCGCCACGUUGUGGAUAUAGAGAAGAGGCUCGACAACACACUCUGCCGUGACAUGGCGAUG
RNAcentral lists this unclassified non-coding RNA (2890 nucleotides) under Leishmania donovani. RNAcentral describes it as "gene:LdHU3.32.1940(CDS-product:hypothetical_prote in_conserved)". The record is from RNAcentral. Lineage: Eukaryota; Euglenozoa; Kinetoplastea; Trypanosomatida; Trypanosomatidae.